UCCAUUUAUCACUGGGAUCCAAACAAGUCA
This 30-nucleotide non-coding RNA is filed under the name Rattus norvegicus (Norway rat). Lineage: Eukaryota; Metazoa; Chordata; Mammalia; Rodentia; Muridae. The record is from RNAcentral.